Molecule: small RNA, 869 nt
Filed under: Pongo abelii (Sumatran orangutan)
Lineage: Eukaryota; Metazoa; Chordata; Mammalia; Primates; Hominidae
Description: processed transcript
Source: RNAcentral
UUCCUCAGAUGAUGGCCGGGUUCUCAUUUGGGACAUCCGGGAAUCUCCCCAUGGAGAGCCCUUCUGCCUGGCAAACUAUCCAUCAGCCUUUCAUAGUGUCAUGUUUAACCCUGUGGAGCCCAGGUUGUUGGCCACAGCCAAUUCAAAGGAAGGAGUGGGACUCUGGGAUAUUCGAAAACCUCAGAGUUCUCUCCUGCGCUAUGGUGGAAACCUGUCCCUCCAAAGUGCCAUGAGUGUACGAUUCAACAGCAACGGGACCCAGCUCCUGGCCCUGAGGCGACGCCUGCCCCCUGUGCUCUAUGACAUCCAUUCCCGCCUGCCUGUGUUUCAGUUUGACAAUCAGGGUUACUUCAACUCAUGCACCAUGAAAAGCUGCUGUUUUGCAGGAGAUCGUGACCAGUAUAUCCUUUCAGGCUCUGAUGACUUCAACCUGUACAUGUGGAGAAUUCCUGCAGAUCCAGAAGCAGAUCUGGAGCCCAUACAAGCAGCCAGGAUGUACUGGAGACCUCGAUGGUCGGAUUGAGGACGAUUCCCGCUGUCUCUAUACCCAUGAAGAGUACAUCAGCCUUGUGCUGAACAGUGGGAGUGGCCUGUCGCAUGACUACGCCAACCAGUCGGUCCAGGAAGACCCCCGGAUGAUGGCCUUCUUUGAUUCCCUCGUACGCCGAGAGAUCGAGGGCUGGAGCUCUGACUCAGACAGUGACCUCAGUGAGAGUACUAUCCUCCAACUGCACGCAGGGGUCAGCGAGCGCUCAGGCUACACUGACUCAGAAUCUUCAGCCUCACUGCCUCGCUCCCCGCCUCCCACAGUAGAUGAGUCUGCCGACAACGCCUUCCACCUGGGGCCCCUCCGGGUCACCACCACAAAC